GAUGAACGCUGGCGGCGUGCCUAAUACAUGCAAGUCGAGCGAACGGACGAGAAGCUUGCUUCUCUGAUGUUAGCGGCGGACGGGUGAGUAACACGUGGAUAACCUACCUAUAAGACUGGGAUAACUUCGGGAAACCGGAGCUAAUACCGGAUAAUAUUUUGAACCGCAUGGUUCAAAAGUGAAAGACGGUCUUGCUGUCACUUAUAGAUGGAUCCGCGCUGCAUUAGCUAGUUGGUAAGGCAACGGCUUACCAAGGCAACGAUGCAUAGCCGACCUGAGAGGGUGAUCGGCCACACUGGAACUGAGACACGGUCCAGACUCCUACGGGAGGCAGCAGUAGGGAAUCUUCCGCAAUGGACGAAAGCCUGACGGAGCAACGCCGCGUGAGUGAUGAAGGUCUUCGGAUCGUAAAACUCUGUUAUUAGGGAAGAACAUAUGUGUAAGUAACUGUGCACAUCUUGACGGUACCUAAUCAGAAAGCCACGGCUAACUACGUG
RNAcentral lists this ribosomal RNA (497 nucleotides) under uncultured bacterium. Its description in RNAcentral is "partial 16S ribosomal RNA". It matches the Rfam family "Bacterial small subunit ribosomal RNA", at positions 28 to 507 of the family's 1533-position model. The record is from RNAcentral.